GGGUUGUGAGGUUAAGCGACUAAGCGUACACGGUGGAUGCCCUGGCAGUCAGAGGCGAUGAAGGACGUGCUAAUCUGCGAAAAGCGUCGGUAAGGUGAUAUGAACCGUUAUAACCGGCGAUGUCCGAAUGGGGAAACCCAGUGCAAUUCGUUGCACUAUCGUUAACUGAAUACAUAGGUUAACGAGGCGAACCGGGGGAACUGAAACAUCUAAGUACCCCGAGGAAAAGAAAUCAACCGAGAUUCCCCCAGUAGCGGCGAGCGAACGGGGAGCAGCCCAGAGUCUGAAUCAGCUUGUGUGUUAGUGGAACGGUCUGGAAAGUCCGACGGUACAGGGUGAUAGUCCCGUACACCAAAAUGCACAGGUUGUGAACUCGAAGAGUAGGGCGGGACACGUGGUAUCCUGUCUGAAUAUGGGGGGACCAUCCUCCAAGGCUAAAUACUCCUGACUGACCGAUAGUGAACCAGUACCGUGAGGGAAAGGCGAAAAGAACCCCGGCGAGGGGAGUGAAAAAGAACCUGAAACCGUGUACGUACAAGCAGUGGGAGCACCUUCGGGUGUGACUGCGUACCUUUUGUAUAAUGGGUCAGCGACUUAUAUUCUGUAGCAAGGUUAACCGUAUAGGGGAGCCGCAGGGAAACCGAGUCUUAACUGGGCGUUAAGUUGCAGGGUAUAGACCCGAAACCCGGUGAUCUAGCCAUGGGCAGGUUGAAGGUUGGGUAACACUAACUGGAGGACCGAACCGACUAAUGUUGAAAAAUUAGCGGAUGACUUGUGGCUGGGGGUGAAAGGCCAAUCAAACCGGGAGAUAGCUGGUUCUCCCCGAAAGCUAUUUAGGUAGCGCCUCGUGAAUUCAUCUUCGGGGGUAGAGCACUGUUUCGGCUAGGGGGUCAUCCCGACUUACCAACCCGAUGCAAACUACGAAUACCGAAGAAUGUUAUCACGGGAGACACACGGCGGGUGCUAACGUCCGUCGUGAAGAGGGAAACAACCCAGACCGCCAGCUAAGGUCCCAAAGUCAUGGUUAAGUGGGAAACGAUGUGGGAAGGCACAGACAGCCAGGAUGUUGGCUUAGAAGCAGCCAUCAUUUAAAGAAAGCGUAAUAGCUCACUGGUCGAGUCGGCCUGCGCGGAAGAUGUAACGGGGCUAAACCAUGCACCGAAGCUGCGGCAGCGACACUAUGUGUUGUUGGGUAGGGGAGCGUUCUGUAAGCCUGCGAAGGUGUGCUGUGAGGCAUGCUGGAGGUAUCAGAAGUGCGAAUGCUGACAUAAGUAACGAUAAAGCGGGUGAAAAGCCCGCUCGCCGGAAGACCAAGGGUUCCUGUCCAACGUUAAUCGGGGCAGGGUGAGUCGACCCCUAAGGCGAGGCCGAAAGGCGUAGUCGAUGGGAAACAGGUUAAUAUUCCUGUACUUGGUGUUACUGCGAAGGGGGGACGGAGAAGGCUAUGUUAGCCGGGCGACGGUUGUCCCGGUUUAAGCAUGUAGGCUGAUUGUCCAGGCAAAUCCGGAUAAUCAAGGCUGAGGUGUGAUGACGAGGCACUACGGUGCUGAAGUAACAAAUGCCCUGCUUCCAGGAAAAGCCUCUAAGCAUCAGGUAACAUCAAAUCGUACCCCAAACCGACACAGGUGGUCAGGUAGAGAAUACCAAGGCGCUUGAGAGAACUCGGGUGAAGGAACUAGGCAAAAUGGUGCCGUAACUUCGGGAGAAGGCACGCUGGUGUGUAGGUGAAGUCCCUGCGGAUGGAGCUGAGACCAGUCGAAGAUACCAGCUGGCUGCAACUGUUUAUUAAAAACACAGCACUGUGCAAACACGAAAGUGGACGUAUACGGUGUGACGCCUGCCCGGUGCCGGAAGGUUAAUUGAUGGGGUUAUCCGUAAGGAGAAGCUCUUGAUCGAAGCCCCGGUAAACGGCGGCCGUAACUAUAACGGUCCUAAGGUAGCGAAAUUCCUUGUCGGGUAAGUUCCGACCUGCACGAAUGGCGUAAUGAUGGCCAGGCUGUCUCCACCCGAGACUCAGUGAAAUUGAACUCGCUGUGAAGAUGCAGUGUACCCGCGGCAAGACGGAAAGACCCCGUGAACCUUUACUAUAGCUUGACACUGAACAUUGAGCCUUGAUGUGUAGGAUAGGUGGGAGGCUUUGAAGCGUGGACGCCAGUCUGCGUGGAGCCAACCUUGAAAUACCACCCUUUAAUGUUUGAUGUUCUAACGUUGGCCCCUUACCGGGGUUGCGGACAGUGUCUGGUGGGUAGUUUGACUGGGGCGGUCUCCUCCCAAAGCGUAACGGAGGAGCACGAAGGUUAGCUAAUCCUGGUCGGACAUCAGGAGGUUAGUGCAAUGGCAUAAGCUAGCUUGACUGCGAGCGUGACGGCGCGAGCAGGUGCGAAAGCAGGUCAUAGUGAUCCGGUGGUUCUGAAUGGAAGGGCCAUCGCUCAACGGAUAAAAGGUACUCCGGGGAUAACGGGCUGAUACCGCCCAAGAGUUCAUAUCGACGGCGGUGUUUGGCACCUCGAUGUCGGCUCAUCACAUCCUGGGGCUGAAGUAGGUCCCAAGGGUAUGGCUGUUCGCCAUUUAAAGUGGUACGCGAGCUGGGUUUAGAACGUCGUGAGACAGUUCGGUCCCUAUCUGCCGUGGGCGCUGGAGAAUUGAGGGGGGCUGCUCCUAGUACGAGAGGACCGGAGUGGACGCAUCACUGGUGUUCGGGUUGUCAUGCCAAUGGCACUGCCCGGUAGCUAAAUGCGGAAGAGAUAAGUGCUGAAAGCAUCUAAGCACGAAACUUGCCCCGAGAUGAGUUCUCCCUGAGACUUUAAGUCUCCUGAAGGAACGUUAAAGACGAUGACGUUGAUAGGCCGGGUGUGUAAGCGCAGCGAUGCGUUGAGCUAACCGGUACUAAUGAACCGUGAGGCUUAACCUUACAACGCCGAAG
Molecule: ribosomal RNA, 2923 nt
Filed under: Klebsiella pneumoniae
Lineage: Bacteria; Pseudomonadati; Pseudomonadota; Gammaproteobacteria; Enterobacterales; Enterobacteriaceae
Description: 23S ribosomal RNA
Rfam family: Bacterial large subunit ribosomal RNA
Source: RNAcentral